Molecule: non-coding RNA, 582 nt
Organism: Equus caballus (horse)
Lineage: Eukaryota; Metazoa; Chordata; Mammalia; Perissodactyla; Equidae
Source: RefSeq, a predicted model, not a curated record
ACCAACGUUCUCACUAAUUUCUUUAGAAAUCACAGGUUGUGGACCUACUGUACAACUGUCACUGCACUAACAGGAUGCAGACACACUGUGCAAAUCCGAAGACAGGGGUAGUCAGUAAAAACCAACCACUGCAGAACGAGGAGAUCGCCUUGGUGGAAGUGUCAUAAUGAUGAAGAGACAAGUCCCAAACAGUCAUUUACCUUCAGCUGCACCUCACCUGAUAGCUCCCAGUCUAAAAUUGAUGCUGCCUUCAGGCUGAUGUUUCCUAAGUGUGCCCAGACCCCAGACCAGGCCUGGUGAAUCAGACCCUCCAGAAGACGAGCUGAAGAGUCUGUGGUACAGCAGCCCCUCGGUGAUUCCUGCUCUGUCAAGUUCAGGAAACACGAGACCAUGGUGAUGAGUCCACCAUACGGCAACUGCCUUGGCUCUCUGGGGCACUGCCUUGAGAGGAAUGCUCAGUCUGUGCCAUCUCUCCACGAGAGGUGCUGUUAUCUACUGAUAAUGUCCAUCAUGAGAAGGGGACUGGGAAAUGGUGGCCUGCAUGUCCCAGGGGGGACCCUAAGUCAUCAAUGAAGGGUUCAC